This 497-nucleotide ribosomal RNA is filed under the name uncultured bacterium. Its description in RNAcentral is "partial 16S ribosomal RNA". It matches the Rfam family "Bacterial small subunit ribosomal RNA", at positions 28 to 507 of the family's 1533-position model. The record is from RNAcentral.
GAUGAACGCUGGCGGCGUGCCUAAUACAUGCAAGUCGAGCGAACGGAGGGAACUCUUUCUUCUCUGCUGUUACCGGCGGACGGGUGAUUCCUACGUGGAUACCUGACCUUUAAGACUGAGAUAACUUCGGGAAACCGGAUCCAAUAUAGGUUCAUAUUUUGAACCUCAUGGUUCUAAAGUGAACGACGUUUUUGCUGUCCCUUAUAGAUGUUUCCUCGCUGCUUUAGCUAUUUGGUAAGGAAACGGCUUACCAAGGCAACAGUGCAUAUCCGACCUGACAGGGUGGUCGGCCAAACUGGAAAUGAGAAAAGGUCCAGGCUCCUACGGGAGGCAAGAGUAGGGAAUCUUCCGCAAAGGGGGGAAGCCUGACGGAGGAACGCCGCGUGGUUGAAGAAGGUCUUCGGAACGGAAAACUCUGUUAUUAGGGGAGAAAAGAUGGGUAAGUAACUCUGCACAGCUUGAAGGUACCUAAUCAGAAAGCCACGGCUAACUACGUU